GGCCAGCACAUGCGAUGCACAUAAUUCCAUGGAAAGGGGAAUCGCAUGGAAGAACUCCCGAAUAAGUCCUUUUCUGAUUUAAAAUUCUAAAAAUAUUAGGAUCAAAAAAAGAAUCAAUCAAACUCUACAUUAUUGCCAUUAAAGGUCUAUUUAAAGGCCUCAAUUCUUUCAAUUUUUCCUUACCAAAAUUUCACGUCACUGGCUGCCCCUUUUCCCUAAUUUCUUUUCAAAAUAC
RNAcentral lists this long non-coding RNA (235 nucleotides) under Elaeis guineensis (African oil palm). Its description in RNAcentral is "long non-coding RNA (EGUI_LNC056381)". Lineage: Eukaryota; Viridiplantae; Streptophyta; Magnoliopsida; Arecales; Arecaceae. The record is from RNAcentral.